Molecule: ribosomal RNA, 479 nt
Filed under: Lingulaulax polyedra
Lineage: Eukaryota; Dinophyceae; Gonyaulacales; Lingulodiniaceae
Description: Lingulodinium polyedra partial Bacterial large subunit ribosomal RNA
Rfam family: Bacterial large subunit ribosomal RNA
Source: RNAcentral
UCGAUGAAGCCGGGGCGUGAGCCAUCCGGUGGAGAGAUCACUAGUGAGAAUGAUGACAUGAGUAGCGACAAACAGGGUGAGAGACCCUGUCGCCGAAAGUCCAAGGGUUCCUGCUUAAAGCUAAUCUGAGCAGGGUAAGCCGACCCCUAAGGCGAGGCCGAAAGGCGUAGUCGAUGGGAACCAGGUUAAUAUUCCUGGGCCAGUUAGAAGUGACGGAUCUCGAAGGUAGUUCAUCCUUAUUGGAUUGAAUGGGCUGCUAAGAGGUUCCUGGAAAUAGCUCUAACAUGAGAUCGUACCCUAAACCGACACAGGUGGAUAGGUAGAGAAUACCAAGGCGCUUGAGAGAACGAUGUUGAAGGAACUCGGCAAAAUACCUCCGUAAGUUCGCGAGAAGGAGGCCCGGUUCCAAGGCAACUUGGAGCUGGGGGCACAAACCAGGGGGUGGCGACUGUUUACUAAAAACACAGGGCUCUGCGAAG